Molecule: non-coding RNA, 45 nt
Organism: Schistosoma mattheei
Lineage: Eukaryota; Metazoa; Platyhelminthes; Trematoda; Strigeidida; Schistosomatidae
Source: Rfam
AUCCAACUGACGAGUUCCAAAUAGGACGAAACGCGCGUCCUGGAU